AUCGCUUCUCAGCUUUUUGGCUAAAAUCAAGUGUAGUAUCUGUUCUUAUCAGUUUCGUAUCUGAUACAUCCUCUAUCUGAGGACAAUAUGUUAAAUGGAGAUUUGGAAAUAGGAGAUGGAACGGGAGCUUGCUCCAUGCACUUCACACGGCGACCUGGUGUCGCAGUACUCCCAGGAACGGUGCGCCCACU
Molecule: small nuclear RNA, 191 nt
Filed under: Sciurus vulgaris (Eurasian red squirrel)
Lineage: Eukaryota; Metazoa; Chordata; Mammalia; Rodentia; Sciuridae
Description: U2 spliceosomal RNA (ENSSVLG00005021985.1)
Rfam family: U2 spliceosomal RNA
About the family: U2 is a small nuclear RNA (snRNA) component of the spliceosome (involved in pre-mRNA splicing). Complementary binding between U2 snRNA (in an area lying towards the 5' end but 3' to hairpin I) and the branchpoint sequence (BPS) of the intron results the bulging out of an unpaired adenosine, on the BPS, which initiates a nucleophilic attack at the intronic 5' splice site, thus starting the first of two transesterification reactions that mediate splicing.
Source: Rfam by way of RNAcentral